Cryptomeria japonica (Japanese cedar) is the source of this 1094-nucleotide RNA transcript. RefSeq lists it as uncharacterized. The transcript has 2 exons. The record is from RefSeq and is a predicted model, not a curated record. Lineage: Eukaryota; Viridiplantae; Streptophyta; Pinopsida; Cupressales; Cupressaceae.
UAAAAGAAUGCUAUUCAUUGUUUUUUAAAGCAUUAAUUGUUGUUCAUUUCCCUGACUGCUCGCAGAAACAUUUUGCAUUUGUUGUUUUUCAUGUUUGCGGAAGAACUGCGCAAGAAUUUGUAUGAGAAGUAUGAAAUGAGGAAUAAGUGAUAGCAGAGGCCUAUUUCUUCUGCCCGACAAAUUUGUGCAAAUGUGGGCGGUGGAUUUUAUGCAUUUUCCAGCACCUGUUUGGCAUGGGCUUAGAAAAUCAAGUAGAUGUGCUUUCCACCUAGCAGCCUCUUCUGCAAUCUAGUCUUGUCAACAACAGGCCAUUUUCCAGCUCAUAGUCAGUUCAGGUAUUCUUUUCCUUUCUAAUUUUUGGAUUUAGUGAACUGGUUGUUUUUUAUGAUAAACUAGACUUAGAACAACAAAUAGAUGUGCCUUCCACCAAGCAGCCCCUGCAAUCUACUCUUGUCAACAACAGGCCAUUUCCCAGCUCAUAGUCAUUUCAGGCAUUCUUUUCCUUUCUAAUUUAUGGAUUUAGUGAAUUGGUUGAUUUUUUAUGACAAACUAGACUUAGAACAACAGAUAGAUGUGCCUUCCACAAACAACUUCUUUAACCUGCAGAUUACGUAUUUUCUCUUGCAGAUUUUGCAAACUCAGGUGAGUUUGCCUCACUUACAUUUAUAUUAUUUGCGUUUCUGCUUUAUACAUUGAUACUAUCGUACUGUCCCCUUUUAAAGUUUUUGACUCAUUUACCUAAAGGCCUUAGCCUAUAUUCACAUAUUUACAGAAAAAAGUGAUAAGAAAACAAAACACAAUUACAUUAAACUACUAUAUGACGAAAGCAAGAACAUUGAGGGGAAGGAGUAUCCCAUUUACACUGCUAAAUAAAAUCUAUACAUCAAUUCCAAUCGAUCAUUAAACUUUGUGUUAAAUUUUUAAGGUCAUUCUAAGAUUGUUGCUUUUUUUAUUAAGCUACUAAAAUGAAUUGCAUGAGGGAAAUUCAAUCGAUAGAAAUGGAAGAUGUAGAUAAAUAGAUGUAUAGAAAGGUAAAAGUUAAUCUGGGGUGUGGGAGUACUUAUCCCAAAUGCUUGGGCCUCUUCCUCCUUCCC